Molecule: long non-coding RNA, 414 nt
Filed under: Mytilus galloprovincialis (Mediterranean mussel)
Lineage: Eukaryota; Metazoa; Mollusca; Bivalvia; Mytilida; Mytilidae
Source: RNAcentral
GUCAUUGUCGAGGUUGGUCAUGUCAGUCAGCGAUGGUCAUGUCACGUUUCCGAAAGUUUUUGAAAAAAAUCUAUAUUUCUUAUAACAUUUUGGUUUCAAAAUAUGACAUAUCAUUUUAUAUUUCAAAUCUGAGAUAAUUCCUUUGAAAAAUAAAAAAAGUUAUUAGCAUUUUUAUUUGGUCCUGUCAUUGUCGAUGUUGGUCCUGUCAUUACCAGAGUUGGUCAUGUCACGUUUUCUAAAGUUUCUUACAAUUUUUUUUUAUUUAUUUUUUUAAAUCUAUAAAUCAAAUGAUGAAAUCUUAUUAUAUUUCAAAUAUGAGAUCAAUCCUUUGAGAAAUGAAAAAGUUAUUAGCAUUUUUCAUUUGGUCCUGUCAUUCGGUCCUGUCAUUCGGUCCAGUCAUUAGUGUAACCCUCU